GACGAACGCUGGCGGCGUGCUUAACACAUGCAAGUCGAACGGAAAGGCCCUGCUGUUGUGGGGUGCUCGAGUGGCGAACGGGUGAGUAACACGGAAGUAACCUUCGCUUGACUGUGGGGUAGCUGCAGGAAACUGGGGGUAAUAACGGAUAGGAGCGCCUGCUGCAGGUUGGGGGAUGGAAAUUUUUGGUGGUUGGGGAUGGAAUCGCGGCUUAUCAGCUUGUUGGUGGGGUAGUGGCUUCGCAAGGCAUUGACGGGUAGCCGGACUGAGAGGGUGACCGGGCCCAUUGGGACUGGGGAACCGGCCAGAGUCCUUCGGGAGGAAGCAGUGGGGAAUAUUGCACGAUGGGCGGCAGCAGUAUGCAGCGACGCCGCGUGGUAGAUGUCUGCCUUCGGGUUGUAAACCGCGUGCGCCUGUGACGAAGCGUCAGUGACGGUAAUGGGUAAAGAAGCAACGGCUAACUACGUG
RNAcentral lists this ribosomal RNA (468 nucleotides) under uncultured bacterium. Its description in RNAcentral is "partial 16S ribosomal RNA". It matches the Rfam family "Bacterial small subunit ribosomal RNA", at positions 28 to 507 of the family's 1533-position model. The record is from RNAcentral.